This is a long non-coding RNA of Antechinus flavipes (yellow-footed antechinus), 564 nucleotides long. RefSeq lists it as uncharacterized. NCBI's taxonomy places the organism in Eukaryota, Metazoa, Chordata, Mammalia, Dasyuromorphia, Dasyuridae. The record is from RefSeq and is a predicted model, not a curated record. The transcript is spliced from 3 exons.
UUCUUGUAUAAAAUGACUACUAGGGAAGUGUCUUACAUAGUUGCACAUGUAUAACCCAUAUCUGACUGCUUACAAUCUUGGGGAGGGGAGAGAAGGAAGAAAGGGACAGAAUUUGGAACUCAAACCUUUAAAUAAGAAUAGGAAAAAAAAUUCUGGGGGUAGAGCCAAGAUAGUAAAGUCAGGGAGCUACUCCAGGUCUCCCAGUUUGCCUGGAAAAUUGCAUGAAACCAUAGAGUCUAAUAGAAUGAACCUACUUUCCAGCUCAACAUGGACUCAUAAAAGUUCAAGAAAAGUCAGUCUCAUUGGGGCAAAAAGUGUAUUCAGGCCAGCUCAGAGAGACUGUGGGAAAGUCUGGUAAGGAGGUCUUAAAGCAACUCACAAUGAAGACCCUCAGUCCUGGCUCAGUAUAAAAGCAAAUCAGUGAGUCAGCUUCCAGUCCCAGCUCAGAAGGCAAACUCUGGGAAACAGGCUGUUUCCUGAACAGAGCAGUCAAAGUUUGCCCCUGCAAACCCAAGGGGCCUUUGUGCUCAAAGCCAAAGCUCAGAACUGCACAGAAAGGUUGGG